Long non-coding RNA from Canis lupus familiaris (dog), 437 nucleotides. RefSeq lists it as uncharacterized. The record is from RefSeq and is a predicted model, not a curated record. The transcript has 2 exons. Lineage: Eukaryota; Metazoa; Chordata; Mammalia; Carnivora; Canidae.
AGGGAACUGAAGCAUAGACAGCAGGACUGGGGCUGUUGGAAAGGCUAGAAGACCCUGAGGGCAGAGACAGGAGAGGGAAGAGCGACAGGGACAAUAGACACGCUCACCUCACAGCCGAUCUGAGACACGCCGUGAGCCGGUGUCCUCCCCUCCGUCUGUCUGGGCUCCGUGAACGACAGCCAACACCGAGCGCGCAUCUGCUACGGGACGCGUCGCCUGUGCGGGCGGCGCGCACCAGCUCCUCGCGAUCCUGGAGCCCACAACAGCCCCAUGAAACCCGCGCUCCUGGGAUCCCCGCUUUGCAAGUGAGGGAACUGAGGCCCCACGAGCUUGUGGGAUGGGAUCAGGACGCAAAGCCGGCUCUGGGGCUGGCAUCCUUCCUAACCGGCCAUCUCACCCUGCGCUGCCCUCCCAGUGAUAAAUCUUUUUAAAAAAGA